AAAAAAGAAGAUGUGGUAUGAUUGACAAUGAGACCAUUCUCCAAAAGAGACCCAAAUGACACAGUUUAAUAUAAAAGGUACAGACGUCCUAGACUUGAAAAAUGAACCGUAAAAUGUCAAAUUGAACAAAAAAAGUCAGAAUGGAAGUCAAUGUGUGAAACCUCAUGUCUAGCACUGAAAAAUGUUGAUUUUAAAAACAAAAAAAUG
RNAcentral lists this long non-coding RNA (207 nucleotides) under Mytilus galloprovincialis (Mediterranean mussel). The record is from RNAcentral. Lineage: Eukaryota; Metazoa; Mollusca; Bivalvia; Mytilida; Mytilidae.